UGAGAACUAGCCGUCUGGAGUCUUCGUGCUCUGGGUGGCGCAGCUAACGCGUGAAGUUCUCCGCCUGGGGAGUACGGCCGCAAGGUUAAAACUCAAAGGAAUUGACGGGGACCCGCACAAGCGGUGGAUGAUGUGGAUUAAUUCGAUGCAACGCGAAGAACCUUACCUACCCUUGACAUGCCGGGAAUCCUGCCCAGAGGCGGGAGUGCCUUCGGGAACCCGGACACAGGUGCUGCAUGGCUGUCGUCAG
RNAcentral lists this ribosomal RNA (250 nucleotides) under uncultured bacterium. RNAcentral describes it as "partial 16S ribosomal RNA". It matches the Rfam family "Bacterial small subunit ribosomal RNA", at positions 810 to 1058 of the family's 1533-position model. The record is from RNAcentral.